CAGUCGCCGCGGUAAUACGAAGGGGGCUAGCGUUGUUCGGAAUUACUGGGCGUAAAUCGCACGUAGGCGGAUUGUUAAGUUAGGGGUGAAAUCCCAGGGCUCAACCCUGGAGCUGCCUUUAAUACUGGCAAUCUCGAGUCCGAGAGAGGUGAGUGGAAUUCCGAGUGUAGAGGUGAAAUUCGUAGAUAUUCGGAGGAACACCAGUGGCGAAGGCGGCUCACUGGCUCGGUACUGACGCUGAGGUGCGAAAGCGUGGGGAGCAAACAGGAUUAGAUACCCCGGUAGUCCCUGUCUCUUAUAC
RNAcentral lists this ribosomal RNA (301 nucleotides) under uncultured bacterium. RNAcentral's name for it is "partial 16S ribosomal RNA". It matches the Rfam family "Bacterial small subunit ribosomal RNA", at positions 509 to 807 of the family's 1533-position model. The record is from RNAcentral.